Small nucleolar RNA from Grammomys surdaster, 139 nucleotides. RefSeq annotates it as small nucleolar RNA SNORA70. The record is from RefSeq and is a predicted model, not a curated record. The transcript has a single exon. NCBI's taxonomy places the organism in Eukaryota, Metazoa, Chordata, Mammalia, Rodentia, Muridae.
AUGCAACCGAUUAAGCCAACCAGGUUUCUUUACUCUAGGAGGCCUGGUCUGUAGUGGCUGUGAACAGCAUCUUCCUUGGUAGGAAGGAUAGCAAGCCUAUUUUCUAUGUGGAUUGCCCUAAGAGACCUUGGAGGCAAUG